AGAGUUUGAUCCUGGCUCAGGACGAACGCUGGCGGCGUGCCUAAUACAUGCAAGUCGAGCGGACAGAAGGGAGCUUGCUCCCGGAUGUUAGCGGCGGACGGGUGAGUAACACGUGGGUAACCUGCCUGUAAGACUGGGAUAACUCCGGGAAACCGGAGCUAAUACCGGAUAGUUCCUUGAACCGCAUGGUUCAAGGAUGAAAGACGGUUUCGGCUGUCACUUACAGAUGGACCCGCGGCGCAUUAGCUAGUUGGUGGGGUAAUGGCUCACCAAGGCGACGAUGCGUAGCCGACCUGAGAGGGUGAUCGGCCACACUGGGACUGAGACACGGCCCAGACUCCUACGGGAGGCAGCAGUAGGGAAUCUUCCGCAAUGGACGAAAGUCUGACGGAGCAACGCCGCGUGAGUGAUGAAGGUUUUCGGAUCGUAAAGCUCUGUUGUUAGGGAAGAACAAGUGCGAGAGUAACUGCUCGCACCUUGACGGUACCUAACCAGAAAGCCACGGCUAACUACGUGCCAGCAGCCGCGGUAAUACGUAGGUGGCAAGCGUUGUCCGGAAUUAUUGGGCGUAAAGGGCUCGCAGGCGGUUUCUUAAGUCUGAUGUGAAAGCCCCCGGCUCAACCGGGGAGGGUCAUUGGAAACUGGGAAACUUGAGUGCAGAAGAGGAGAGUGGAAUUCCACGUGUAGCGGUGAAAUGCGUAGAGAUGUGGAGGAACACCAGUGGCGAAGGCGACUCUCUGGUCUGUAACUGACGCUGAGGAGCGAAAGCGUGGGGAGCGAACAGGAUUAGAUACCCUGGUAGUCCACGCCGUAAACGAUGAGUGCUAAGUGUUAGGGGGUUUCCGCCCCUUAGUGCUGCAGCUAACGCAUUAAGCACUCCGCCUGGGGAGUACGGUCGCAAGACUGAAACUCAAAGGAAUUGACGGGGGCCCGCACAAGCGGUGGAGCAUGUGGUUUAAUUCGAAGCAACGCGAAGAACCUUACCAGGUCUUGACAUCCUCUGACAACCCUAGAGAUAGGGCUUUCCCUUCGGGGACAGAGUGACAGGUGGUGCAUGGUUGUCGUCAGCUCGUGUCGUGAGAUGUUGGGUUAAGUCCCGCAACGAGCGCAACCCUUGAUCUUAGUUGCCAGCAUUAAGUUGGGCACUCUAAGGUGACUGCCGGUGACAAACCGGAGGAAGGUGGGGAUGACGUCAAAUCAUCAUGCCCCUUAUGACCUGGGCUACACACGUGCUACAAUGGACAGAACAAAGGGCUGCAAGACCGCAAGGUUUAGCCAAUCCCAUAAAUCUGUUCUCAGUUCGGAUCGCAGUCUGCAACUCGACUGCGUGAAGCUGGAAUCGCUAGUAAUCGCGGAUCAGCAUGCCGCGGUGAAUACGUUCCCGGGCCUUGUACACACCGCCCGUCACACCACGAGAGUUUGCAACACCCGAAGUCGGUGAGGUAACCUUUAUGGAGCCAGCCGCCGAAGGUGGGGCAGAUGAUUGGGGUGAAGUCGUAACAAGGUAACC
This 1510-nucleotide ribosomal RNA is filed under the name Bacillus sp. SaZRH3. Its description in RNAcentral is "bacterial SSU rRNA". It matches the Rfam family "Bacterial small subunit ribosomal RNA". The record is from RNAcentral. Lineage: Bacteria; Bacillati; Bacillota; Bacilli; Caryophanales; Bacillaceae.